Molecule: transfer RNA, 67 nt
Filed under: Psychomantis borneensis
Lineage: Eukaryota; Metazoa; Arthropoda; Insecta; Mantodea; Hymenopodidae
Description: tRNA-Cys
Source: RNAcentral
GGUCUUGUAUUCAUAAAAUGAUAUUAGAAUGCAAUUCUAAAUGGUGUAGAAGUAAAUACUAAGACUU